UGGGGAAUAUUGCACAAUGGGCGAAAGCCUGAUGCAGCAACGCCGCGUGAGUGAUGAAGGCCUUCGGGUUGUAAAAGCUCUGUCUUUUGGGACGAUAAUGACGGUACCAAAGGAGGAAGCCACGGCUAACUACGUGCCAGCAGCCGCGGUAAUACGUAGGUGGCAAGCGUUGUCCGGAUUUACUGGGCGUAAAGGAUGCGUAGGCGGAUUUUUAAGUGAGAUGUGAAAACCCUAAGCUUAACUUGGGGACUGCAUUUCAUACUGGAAAUCUAGAGUGCGGGAGAGGAGAAUGGAAUUCCUAGUGUAGCGGUGAAAUGCGUAGAGAUUAGGAAGAACACCAGUGGCGAAGGCGAUUCUCUGGACCGUAACUGACGCUGAGGCAUGAAAGCGUGGGUAGCAAACAGGAUUAGAUACCCUGGUAGUCCACGCCGUAAACGAUGAGUACUAGGUGUAGGAGGUAUCGACCCCUUCUGUGCCGCAGUUAACGCAAUAAGUACUCCGCCUGGGAAGUACGAUCGCAAGAUUAAAACUCAAAGGAA
Molecule: ribosomal RNA, 539 nt
Filed under: uncultured bacterium
Lineage: Bacteria
Description: partial 16S ribosomal RNA
Rfam family: Bacterial small subunit ribosomal RNA
Source: RNAcentral